RNAcentral lists this ribosomal RNA (502 nucleotides) under uncultured bacterium. Its description in RNAcentral is "partial 16S ribosomal RNA". It matches the Rfam family "Bacterial small subunit ribosomal RNA", at positions 29 to 523 of the family's 1533-position model. The record is from RNAcentral.
AUUGAACGCUGGCGGAAUGCUUUACACAUGCAAGUCGAACGGCAGCACGGGUGCUUGCACCUGGUGGCGAGUGGCGAACGGGUGAGUAAUACAUCGGAACGUACCCUGACGUGGGGGAUAACCCAGCGAAAGUUGUGCUAAUACCGCAUACGUCCUGAGGGAGAAAGCGGGCGAUCGCAAGACCUCGCGCGUUAGGAGCGGCCGAUGGCGGAUUAGCUAGUUGGUGGGGUACAGGCUCACCAAGGCGACGAUCCGUAGAUGGUCUGCGAGGACGACCAGCCACACUGGAACUGAGACACGGUCCAGACUCCUACGGGAGGCAGCAGUGGGGAAUUUUGGACAAUGGGCGAAAGCCUGAUCCAGCCAUUCCGCGUGAGUGAAGAAGGCCUUCGGGUUGUAAAGCUCUUUCGGCAGGAACGAAACGGUGUGGGCCAAUACCCUGCAUCAAUGACGGUACCUGAAGAAGAAGCACCGGCUAACUACGUGCCAGCAGCCGCGGUAA